This 492-nucleotide long non-coding RNA is filed under the name Homo sapiens (human). RNAcentral's name for it is "non-protein coding lnc-ADGRL4-5:3". Lineage: Eukaryota; Metazoa; Chordata; Mammalia; Primates; Hominidae. The record is from RNAcentral.
AAAUAUAGGAAAAAAAUCAAUCAUUUUCAGAGCUGAACAAACUAAAUGUUUACCAUAACAGAUCCUCAAUUAGGAAAUAUCUAAAUAAUAUACCUCAGAAGAGAGACUAUGGUCCCAGCUGGAAAAUUUAAAAUGCAAGAAGAAAUGCUGGAGUGCAGUAGUGCAGUCACAGCUGAGUGCAGCCUCCACCUCCCAGGGCUCAAGCAAUCCUGCCACCUCAGUCUACCAAGUAGCUGGAACUACAGACCUGAACCACCACACCCAGCUAAUUUUUUAUUUUUUGUAAAGAUGGGGUCUCACUGUGUUGCCCUGGCUGACCUCAAACUCCUGAACCCAAGCAAUCCUUUCACCACCUUGGCCUCCCAAAGUGUUAGGAUUAGAGGAAUGAGCCAUUGUGUCCAGCCAAAAUAAAUAUUUUAAGCAUGUAUAACUACUAAAGAGGGAUGCUGUGUAUACUGGAGGAGAUUAGAAGAGAACAAUACUAGAAGCAAG